GCUUUCGGGGUGUAGUGGUCAGCACGCUCGGCGCGUAUUCGAGAGGUCCUUGGUUCGAGUCCCGGCGAGGGCA
This 73-nucleotide transfer RNA is filed under the name Stegodyphus mimosarum. It matches the Rfam family "tRNA". Rfam says of the family: Transfer RNA (tRNA) molecules are approximately 80 nucleotides in length. Their secondary structure includes four short double-helical elements and three loops (D, anti-codon, and T loops). The record is from Rfam by way of RNAcentral. Lineage: Eukaryota; Metazoa; Arthropoda; Arachnida; Araneae; Eresidae.